RNAcentral lists this long non-coding RNA (2098 nucleotides) under Gossypium barbadense (sea-island cotton). RNAcentral's name for it is "long non-coding RNA (GBAR_LNC012904)". Lineage: Eukaryota; Viridiplantae; Streptophyta; Magnoliopsida; Malvales; Malvaceae. The record is from RNAcentral.
AACAUCACACCCUCACCGGUGCAAUCCACUAUAAGCUUACCAUUAGCCCCUUCUCUUAAUCUACCUGCAAAUGGAUAAUAACACACUAGGGUUUGUGCAAGUGCCUCCCUAAUAACCUCAGCUGGAUCUUUUCCUUCCAUGGAAGGUUCAUAUUGAUAAAACUUGAUUAGCAGAACUUGAAACCGCAAACUCGCUUGAUCAUCAAUGUCCGAUAACAGUUUUUGUUCACGUGGCAUAGGCUUAGCAGGAGCAACAAGUUGUGGUUCACAACGUCAGACAGUGAACUUAAGGGGAAUGCUGCAAGGUGCUGCCAUGACACAAGGAUGUGAGAUAAUAGAAAAAGAAUAGCAAGUAUUUGGUCUUAAUGAAGUGUUUGAAAUGUUUUAUAUAGGAACCAAAGUGUAGAAAUUUGAAGUUUAUUUUAGGGUAAAUUAUACCAACUGUCACUCAACUUUGGGGUAGCUGACAAAACAGUCACUCAGGUUUCAAUUCAGUCACUCAACUUUCAAAAAAUAACAAAACAAUCCUUUUAAUCAGUUUCCAUUACAGACGUAACGAAAAGUUGACAUGUCAUUUAACUGGCCACGUUGGCAUCCUAGUUGUCGUUUAAAUUAUACCAAUUGUCCCUCAACUUUGGGGUAGCUAACAAAACAGUCACUCAGAUUUCAAUUUAAUCACUCAACUUUCAAAAAUUUAAUAAAGAAAUAGAGUAAAUUGAAGGAAAAAAACCAAUUAUGUCGUUGAAUUCAUGAUUGACAUGUUUGCCCGUAUUGAGAUGACUAUUACCUCGUGAUACGUGUCCAAUCACCUUUUCUUCAUCCUAUCAUUAUAAUUACAAUAGUCAAUUUUGAAGAAAUUUAUUUUACAUAGUAAAUAGGGGCGAAGUCAAAAAAUAUUUAAGGAAUUAAAAUUAAAUUGUAAUUUUUAAUAGUUUAUAUCUUUAUAGUUUUUAAAAAAAUUAAAUUAAAUUUUUAUCAUUUUUAGAAGGGACUAAAGUGUAGUUUUAUAUUUACUAAUUUAAAUUUUUUAAAUUUUUAAAAGGCCUAAAUGGAUCAUACAUGUAAAAUUUAAUAACUAAAAAAAAUUCGGAAACAAAUGAAAGAAAGAGAGGACCAAAUUUUUAUGUGAAUUUUAUAUAUUUAUGUACCAUCUUGCGGUCUUCAUGAUUCACAUUUCACAUGCUACAUUUAUGAAAGUUUUGGCCACAAAAUUUAAGUGGCUAUUCUGCGACUUAAGGGUUAUUUGGACUGUAUUUAGAGCCAUCCUUUGUCGUAUUGAGAUGAUAACAGUGCACCCAUAAAUGGAAUAUAAAGAGUAAAAUGUGAUUCAUUUAUUUUCAUGAAACGUUUUAUGUAAUUCAAAUGUUAAAUUAAGGUAAUUUGAUAAAUUGAAAAAAUUUGUGUUAAGAAAUUUAUAUUUAAAAUUAAGUUGUAAAUAUAUCUGGUAUAUUAUUUGAAGUUAAAUAUAUGAAAUACAAUUAGAUUACUUGAUAAAUUUAAAUUUAAAUUAUAUUUUUUAUUUUACAUUUGUGUCUCCUUUUUUAAAGCAUCCCGUCAGAACUAAGAACAUUAUAAACGAGCUCAUCGAAGCAAGGGAUGGUGGGUGAAGUGUUCACCAAACUGUUCAAGUGUAACAUCAGCAUCGGCUUUUAUAAACAUCACACCCUCACCGGUGCAAUCCAUUAUAAGCUUACCAUUAGCCCCUUCUCUUAAUCUACCUACAAAUGGAUAAUAACACACUAGGGUUUGUGCAAGUGCCUCCCUAAUAACCUCAGCUGGAUCCUUUCCUUCCACGGAAGGUUCAUAUUGAUAAAAGUUGAUUAGCGGAACUUGAAACCGCAAACUCGCUUGAUCAUCAAUGUCCGAUAACAGUUUUUGUUCAUAUGGCGUAGGCUUAGCAGGAGCAACAAGUUGUGGUUCACAACGUCGGACAGUGUACUUAAGGGGAAUGUUGGAAGGUGCUUCCAUGACACAAGGAUGUGAAAUAAUAGAAAAAGAAUAGCAAUUGUUUGGUCUUAAUGAAGUGUUUGAAAUGUUUUAUAUAGGAACCAAAGUGUACAAAUUUGAAAUUUAUUUUACAUCGCAUAUGUAAAUUGUAA